Molecule: non-coding RNA, 107 nt
Organism: Arthrobotrys conoides
Lineage: Eukaryota; Fungi; Ascomycota; Orbiliomycetes; Orbiliales; Orbiliaceae
Source: the annotation of a GenBank genome assembly
GCUCCUAUAGCUCAGUUGGUAGAGCGCGACACUAGUAUCGUGUCUGAGAAUUUCAUCUCCGGUUUCGUGAAAUGUCGAGGUCUACGGUUCAAAUCCGUAUGGGAGCA